Molecule: small nucleolar RNA, 127 nt
Filed under: Erinaceus europaeus (western European hedgehog)
Lineage: Eukaryota; Metazoa; Chordata; Mammalia; Eulipotyphla; Erinaceidae
Description: Small nucleolar RNA SNORA25 (ENSEEUG00000023466.1)
Source: RNAcentral
AAGUCACUUCAAAGAGGGCAUAUGGGCUGUGAAAGCAGGACUUCUCAUAGCUAUGAUCAAAAACUGAAGUUCUCCCUAGGAUUCGACAAUAUUCAAUAGUGCCAAAAUUUUCUGAAGAGAUAUAAAA